Molecule: ribosomal RNA, 163 nt
Filed under: uncultured bacterium
Lineage: Bacteria
Description: partial 16S rRNA
Rfam family: Bacterial small subunit ribosomal RNA
Source: RNAcentral
UAGGGAAUCCUCCACAAUGGGCGAAAGCCUGAUGGAGCAACGCCGCGUGUGUGAUGAAGGGUUUCGGCUCGUAAAACACUGUUGUAAGAGAAGAAUGACAUUGAGAGUAACUGUUCAAUGUGUGACGGUAUCUUACCAGAAAGGAACGGCUAAAUACGUGCCG